CACGAUCAAGACAUUGACAUCUAUUAAAAGAUUCAGAACACACUACUCAUUGCAGCCCUGUAAUGGUCAUAUUUCAUACCAUAAUAAAGUAAUCUGUCUUUCCAAAUUGAAAUUCUUUUAAUACCUUAAAUGUAUAAUGUUUUUCAUCAACGUUAUGCAUUUAAGAUUCAGAACACACUACUCAUAACAGCCCUGUAAUGGUGAUCUUUCCUACCAUAGGAAAGUAAUACGUCUUUCCAAAUUGAAAAAAAAA
This 253-nucleotide long non-coding RNA is filed under the name Medicago truncatula (barrel medic). RNAcentral describes it as "long non-coding RNA (MTRU_LNC001885)". Lineage: Eukaryota; Viridiplantae; Streptophyta; Magnoliopsida; Fabales; Fabaceae. The record is from RNAcentral.